Molecule: ribosomal RNA, 650 nt
Filed under: uncultured bacterium
Lineage: Bacteria
Description: bacterial SSU rRNA
Rfam family: Bacterial small subunit ribosomal RNA
Source: RNAcentral
GUCAGGCCUAACACAUGCAAGUCGAACGCCCCUUCGGGGGAGUGGCAGACGGGUGAGUAACGCGUGGGAACCUUCCCUGUGGUACGGAAUAACUCAGAGAAAUUUGAGCUAAUACCGUAUACGCCCUUCGGGGGAAAGAUUUAUCGCCAUAGGAUGGGCCCGCGUCGGAUUAGCUUGUUGGUGAGGUAAUGGCUCACCAAGGCGACGAUCCGUAGCUGGUCUUAGAGGAUGAUCAGCCACACUGGGACUGAGACACGGCCCAGACUCCUACGGGAGGCAGCAGUGGGGAAUAUUGGACAAUGGGCGCAAGCCUGAUCCAGCCAUGCCGCGUGAGUGACGAAGGCCUUAGGGUUGUAAAGCUCUUUUGGCGGGGACGAUAAUGACGGUACCCGCAGAAUAAGCCCCGGCUAACUUCGUGCCAGCAGCCGCGGUAAUACGAAGGGGGCUAGCGUUGUUCGGAAUCACUGGGCGUAAAGCGCACGUAGGCUGACUGGUCAGUUGGGGGUGAAAUCCCGGGGCUCAACCUCGGAACUGCCUUCAAUACUGCCAGUCUUGAGUCCGAGAGAGGUGAGUGGAAUUCCUAGUGUAGAGGUGAAAUUCGUAGAUAUUAGGAAGAACACCAGUGGCGAAGGCGGCUCACUGGCUCGGUA